ACUCCAAAGCACUUUUUAUGUUUUGGACAUCUUUAGCCUUUCCAAAGGAUACUCCUUCGACAAAUAGUUAAUCAUGGACGAAGUACAACUCUCGGAUUUCGAGAAUUCGCUUCCUUACAUCCUCCCCUCCUUAAAAGGAGUUUCAUCCUUGAAACUAACUCAAUUCUUACUUUAACCUACAUUCUUACCUCACUCCUCGAAUA
This 203-nucleotide long non-coding RNA is filed under the name Ananas comosus (pineapple). RNAcentral's name for it is "long non-coding RNA (ACOM_LNC001092)". Lineage: Eukaryota; Viridiplantae; Streptophyta; Magnoliopsida; Poales; Bromeliaceae. The record is from RNAcentral.